GCUUUUGCGCAGUGGCAGUAUUGUAGCCAAUUAGGUUUAUCUGAGGCACGAUUAUUGCUAAUUGAAAACUUUAACUCCAGGGAUAAUUUUUCC
RNAcentral lists this small nuclear RNA (93 nucleotides) under Canis lupus dingo (dingo). RNAcentral's name for it is "U4 spliceosomal RNA (ENSCAFG00020012034.1)". The stretch from base 1 to 79 matches the Rfam family "U4 spliceosomal RNA". From Rfam's summary of the family: U4 small nuclear RNA (U4 snRNA) is a component of the major U2-dependent spliceosome. The structure of U4 snRNA from yeast and human has been reported. Lineage: Eukaryota; Metazoa; Chordata; Mammalia; Carnivora; Canidae. The record is from RNAcentral.